Zostera marina is the source of this 81-nucleotide transfer RNA. It matches the Rfam family "tRNA". From Rfam's summary of the family: Transfer RNA (tRNA) molecules are approximately 80 nucleotides in length. Their secondary structure includes four short double-helical elements and three loops (D, anti-codon, and T loops). The record is from Rfam. Lineage: Eukaryota; Viridiplantae; Streptophyta; Magnoliopsida; Alismatales; Zosteraceae.
GUCAAGAUGGCCGAGUUGGUCUAAGGCGCCAGUUUCAGGUGCUGGUCCGAAAGGGCGUGGGUUCAAAUCCCACUCUUGACA